AGGCUUGCUCCAGCAUCACACAGUGCAAGCCCUAAGAUUCCUGAGUGGGCAGCAGACAGAAGAGGUGCACAGAGGGAGCCAGAGAGGCUGCACAGUUUUCCUGACUUCACACCCACCGCACCCAAACUACCGGACCGACAAACCCACACUGCCUUAUGGGACUCUGUCUUGCCUGUAGCAGGUAUUGGCUGACUUUGGCCCAAACAUGGCCUUGCUUGUUUAGCCUAACUGCUCGAUUUCCACUCUGCUUGAUACAUGUAUGUUUUUUGUUUUUUUUUACCUCCUGGCAGAGGACACAGCGGGCUAUUUAAUGCUGAGCAUUGUUGUUAUGCCAUACAAUGUUAUGCCAUACAAUUGUACUACUAUGCCUUUUGAAUUGCUUGCUAUAGCUGUUGUGGCUCUGCAAGUCUGUUUGUAACUACAAGC
Pelobates cultripes (western spadefoot toad) is the source of this 426-nucleotide non-coding RNA. NCBI's taxonomy places the organism in Eukaryota, Metazoa, Chordata, Amphibia, Anura, Pelobatidae. The record is from the annotation of a GenBank genome assembly.